AGGGGGGGGGGGGGUGUGGCCGUUGAGAGGCGCGCGCGCGCCCUCGCGCCGGGCUCGAGCCGGCGGCAUCUCCCCUCCCCUCAGUCCCGCUCGGCAGCCGCGGUGGCAGCAGUAGCCGCUGCCCGGGUAGCGGUGCCGGUGCCUCCUCCUCAUCCUCCUCGCUCUUCCUCCACCCCUCCCGGGGCACGGUGAGCACAGCCGCGUGGGGACGGGCUCGCUGCCCUCGCCGCGCCGGGACGCGGAGCCCGCCGUUGGGUGCGACGGGACUGCGGGACCCCCCCCUGCCCUCAGCCCGCCCCGGCGAGCGGCCGAGGCAGGGGCCGGCUGGCCGCUCUCUCUCUUCCCCCCCCUCCACGGUACAGACACGCCGAGAUGCAGUUUAUGUUGCUUUUUAGUCGCCAGGGGAAACUGAGACUCCAGAAGUGGUAUGUCCCAUUAUCUGACAAAGAAAAGAAGAAAAUCACAAGGGAACUUGUUCAAACAGUGUUAGCCCGCAAACCGAAAAUGUGCAGCUUCCUGGAAUGGAGAGACCUGAAGAUUGUCUACAAAAGGUACGCAAGCCUGUAUUUCUGCUGUGCUAUUGAAGAUCAGGACAAUGAACUAAUAACUCUGGAAAUAAUUCAUCGCUAUGUAGAACUUCUUGACAAGUAUUUUGGCAGUGUAUGUGAACUUGAUAUAAUCUUCAAUUUUGAAAAAGCCUAUUUCAUUCUGGAUGAGUUCCUUUUAGGCGGGGAAGUUCAGGAGACUUCCAAGAAAAAUGUUCUCAAAGCCAUUGAACAGGCAGACCUUUUACAGGAGAGCCAGAAUGAAGACUGGGGAGGUUUGUCUGAGGAUAUCUUAUGAUUAAGAGCAAUCUAAGGCAUUAGUCCUUUUGACCCCCAUCUAAAUGAUUGGAAGCAGAGACCCCACGUAGUGUACUUGAAGAAAUUGGAUUGACAUAAAUCUUCACUUCAGCUGAUGACAUCUCAGUGUUUCAUACUGUAAAUGUUCACUGCCUUCAUUGUAAUGUUUAGCUAAUGGUGUAAGAUGCUGUUUGUCAGUAUUACUGUUUUGCUAAGCUGCUUCGUUCAGGCCUACAAGAAAAAUACUCCUUUAAAAAGGGAGCAAGAAACUGAAGCCCAAAAAUCAUAAAUGAAAGGGAUUAGAUUUAAAUUGACUCAGUGUCUCCAUUCACUGCAUUUAGAGGAAAAUUGCAUUUGACUUCAAUAAGUGUUUUUUAUAAUCAAACUUGACUUCAGGAAACAAAUGCAUCGUUAUGACGUAGCAUAUCUAAAUGAGAAGAAACUAUAUGGACAACUCCAAAUACAAAAUCUUAUGGUGUAGAAAUCGUGUUUAUGCAACCAAAGACUUCUUUUCAUCUACAUUUUAGUCACCACUUGUGCUAAUUCUGCUUAUUUCAGUUGAUGCAUAAAGAUUGGAAAUACCUGUUUACUACUGAAUUUGUCAUAAUACCAAAGAAUCCUGUUUGAUAUGCAGAUCCAAACUGGUUAAAAACUGUUAAGAUGAUACUGCUUUUUUGAAAGAAAACGGCAAACUGAUCAACUCACUAGAAAUGAAGGUGUGUUUAAGUGUAGCUACCUUGAGCAAAACUCUGCAAGUUACUAUACUAUAAAGGGAAUGCAUGUAUUUUUUAAAAAAAUCCACAUAAGAGAACUAUUUUUAGAUCUGAUAAUAGCUUGCUCUGAGCACAAGAAAGGAGGCAGGCUUUCCGACUAUAUCGAGAGGCACGUAUGAAAAUUGGAUACGUUUGAAGAUGGGAAAGGAGAAGCUUUACAAAAGGGACUUAUUUUCUUUUAGACUGCAGACUGAUUUGUGUUUAUUGGUGUUUUAUAGUUACGCUUCAAUGGGUGUAUAGGUACCCUUAAAAACACCAACAAAAAACCAAACCAACCCACACUACGUGUCAAUGUCAUUUUAACUGCUUUUCUUGACUUACACCUUUAACAUGACCCAUCCCUUAUGAAACACCUGUGUGAUGCACGCUUGAACCAACUAAUUUGCAGUGAGAGCUUUUAAUUAUUAGCUGUGUAUAGUAGAUUCACUGCAAAUCAUGUAAAGUAAGGCCAGGUGAUACUUCGACACUUCUAGCAGACUUCCAGUAGUUAUAAACUAAACCCCUUUCACUUGAGGGAAUUUGACUUGUGUAUUCUUUUGAGUUUUGAGGAGGUAGUUGCCACGCUUUGGAGUAGCCAAGCUGUGCCCUGUGUCUGCACGGUCCCUGAGGAGGGGGGGCUGCUCCCCUUCCUCCCCCCCCCCCCCCCCCCCCCGUAACUCCACGCUAGGAGUCAAUGCUUUGGCUUGUUCACUUGAGUAAGUAGCGCCACGUUUUCACGAAGCUUCACUUCGGCGUUGCCGCUGGAAGCGGCACUGCUAGCAUUAGCAUUUACACAGCCACCCGUGGUGCCACCCGCCUUAAAUUUGACCCAUGGGGAAAGGCUCGGUGUUGCCCCUUGUGGGUGCCCUGCUCCAGACCCAGUGCUGGUGGCAGCAGAAGGGCCAGCCGGGGCAGGGGUGGGUCUGCACGCUGCCGGGGUGGGGCUGGUGAACUCCCAGUGUUAGAAUUUCUCUACUUUAAGCCCCUUCUGGGAUUUAAACACAUCCAAUUGCUAGAGAAUGUUUUUAACCGAGGGCACGCAGAAGCAGUGGUGUGCGUUUCCCCAGUGCGCAACACGCAGGGAUAGAUGAGGUUAAAGUGGUAGCGGAACGACCUUGUGUGUGAGAUUGAAAUGGUAAAAUUACCUUCAUUUAAGUCAAACCCGAAGCAAUUUUCUAUGUAUUUAAUAUGUUUUUAAAGUUUACACUGUCACUUGUAUGUGCUUGGCUGGAUUAAGCUUUGUUGUGAUUGUGACAAAUAAACUGUUUGAUCUCUGUCUGUCACAUCGGUUUAGUUGUAAUAAAUGUCCAUUUUUACACCA
This is a non-coding RNA of Phalacrocorax carbo (great cormorant), 2915 nucleotides long. NCBI's taxonomy places the organism in Eukaryota, Metazoa, Chordata, Aves, Suliformes, Phalacrocoracidae. The record is from RefSeq and is a predicted model, not a curated record.